This 574-nucleotide long non-coding RNA is filed under the name Vulpes vulpes (red fox). RNAcentral describes it as "lncRNA (ENSVVUG00000025817.1)". Lineage: Eukaryota; Metazoa; Chordata; Mammalia; Carnivora; Canidae. The record is from RNAcentral.
GCUGGGCCCGGGCGGAGCCGAGGGCGGGGGAGGAGGGCGGAGCGGGGUGGGAGGCGCGGCGGCCGAGGGGCUGCAGAAAAGUUGCGGGGAUCGGAGCGACAGCAGCCGCGGAGCCGCGGGAGUGGGGAGCGCGCGGCGGGUGCAGAGCGGGCAGAGCGGGCGGCGCGCACCCGGGGCGGCAGGGAGCCCCAGACCCGUCUCCCGGGGAUGCGUGGGGCCCCGAGCCAGGUGCUGGCGCGCGGCCGGGCACAGCCUCCAGAUUUGGCUUGCAGAGCAGCGUGCCCCCCUUGAAGGGAAAUGCGGUUUGCAGCAGCCCUUGCCGGCCAAGAGUGGCCACGUGACAUGGAGCUGCCCUGUGGGAUGCGAGGGAUGGCCUGGGUCCGGGGCCCUAGAGGGCUGUGCAGGGCCUUCGGAGCGCGGAGUGGCCUGUGCGCUGUGCAGCUGGGUUUUCAGUACAGAUUUGAAGGCCAAAAUGGAGAAAACAGAAAUGAUUGAUGAAGCAGGAGUGAAAUGGACACGUUAUGUGCAAAACAAGGGGGGCCCUGGCUGCGGAGUAAUGGGCCCUUUGUGCUGA